AUUGAACGCUGGCGGCAGGCCUAACACAUGCAAGUCGAGCGGCAGCGGAAAGUAGCUUGCUACUUUGCCGGCGAGCGGCGGACGGGUGAGUAAUGUCUGGGAAACUGCCUGAUGGAGGGGGAUAACUACUGGAAACGAUAGCUAAUACCGCAUGACCUCGAAAGAGCAAAGUGGGGGAUCUUCGGACCUCACGCCAUCGGAUGUGCCCAGAUGGGAUUAGCUAGUAGGUGAGGUAAUGGCUCACCUAGGCGACGAUCCCUAGCUGGUCUGAGAGGAUGACCAGCCACACUGGAACUGAGACACGGUCCAGACUCCUACGGGAGGCAGCAGUGGGGAAUAUUGCACAAUGGGCGCAAGCCUGAUGCAGCCAUGCCGCGUGUGUGAAGAAGGCCUUAGGGUUGUAAAGCACUUUCAGCGAGGAGGAAGGCAUCAUACUUAAUACGUGUGGUGAUUGACGUUACUCGCAGAAGAAGCACCGGCUAACUCCGUGCCAGCAGCCGCGGUAAUACGGAGGGUGCAAGCGUUAAUCGGAAUUACUGGGCGUAAAGCGCACGCAGGCGGUUUGUUAAGUCAGAUGUGAAAUCCCCGCGCUUAACGUGGGAACUGCAUUUGAAACUGGCAAGCUAGAGUCUUGUAGAGGGGGGUAGAAUUCCAGGUGUAGCGGUGAAAUGCGUAGAGAUCUGGAGGAAUACCGGUGGCGAAGGCGGCCCCCUGGACAAAGACUGACGCUCAGGUGCGAAAGCGUGGGGAGCAAACAGG
This 759-nucleotide ribosomal RNA is filed under the name uncultured Enterobacteriaceae bacterium. RNAcentral's name for it is "bacterial SSU rRNA". It matches the Rfam family "Bacterial small subunit ribosomal RNA", at positions 28 to 776 of the family's 1533-position model. Lineage: Bacteria; Pseudomonadati; Pseudomonadota; Gammaproteobacteria; Enterobacterales; Enterobacteriaceae. The record is from RNAcentral.